Molecule: ribosomal RNA, 253 nt
Filed under: uncultured bacterium
Lineage: Bacteria
Description: partial 16S ribosomal RNA
Rfam family: Bacterial small subunit ribosomal RNA
Source: RNAcentral
GACGGAGGAUGCAAGCGUUAUCCGGAAUUAUUGGGCGUAAAGCGUCCGCAGGUGGACAUACAAGUCUGCUGUCAAAGUGCAGAGCUUAACUCUGUAAAGGCGGUGGAAACUGUAGGUCUUGAGUAUGGUAGGGGUAGAGGGAAUUCCCGGUGUAGCGGUGAAAUGCGUAGAUAUCGGGAAGGACACCAGUGGCGAAAGCGCUCUACUGGGCCAUAACUGACACUGAGGGACGAAAGCUAGGGGAGCGAAAGGG